Molecule: long non-coding RNA, 4699 nt
Filed under: Taeniopygia guttata (zebra finch)
Lineage: Eukaryota; Metazoa; Chordata; Aves; Passeriformes; Estrildidae
Description: lncRNA (ENSTGUG00000026963.1)
Source: RNAcentral
GGGGCUGAGCGUGGAUCCUGCACCGGCGGCCGGGACGCGGGGACUCCCCCUUCGGUGCAGGGAGGCCCAUUCCUCGGGAAAAAGGGGGAGAGAGAGAGAGGCUGAUACUGAAGCCAACCAGCUGCGCUUCUGAGUGGGAAACUCUGGACUGUUCUCAUGGCUUGCUUUUUAUUUCUUUAAUACUUCAUUAUCUCUGAAAAUGAAUCUUUUGUGAAGCUCUUCUCCUAACUCUCCUUAUUCCUCUUUCACGAGGUGGCUGCUGCUGUGCAAGGGAAGGAAUGGCAUGAAGUAAAUGACUCCAGUACAAAGCAAUCUGCUUUGCCCAAAUGCCCAGUGGGCAGCACUGUCACUUUAAUAAUUCCAGGUCAAGGGAUUGCUUUCCUCGCUUUCAAUCCUCUCUUUUAAUACAUGGGAGGAUCAGAGGGACAUUAAAGACCGUAAGGCUGGGUGGCUUGCAGAUAAUAAAAAUGAAAGUGUCUGCCCAGUGACUUCUGUUGGGUAAGAGGGUGAUAUUUGAAGGCUCUUGUCUGGUGAGGAAAAAGGGAUCUUUUCAGUCUGCUGUGUAGUCACCUAAUACAUAGCUAGCAAAAUUAAUUCAAGAAGUGAAAGAGCUUAAAGAGGCGCUUUGGAUUGUUUUUGUCUUCCUCCUUAUUUGGAUUACUUGGGCGUUUUUGUCCUGCAAAUAAUAUGUUUUUGAGCAUGUACAGGUGGAGUAUUGAGACAGCUGCCUAGAGAUGGACUGUGCCUUAAUUGUAUUGCAUAAAAUCUUUUAAUUUUCAAACUUUGCUGCCAGAAGAGGAGUUAUAAUAAGGUUUUAUAUUGCCAAGGAACAUUUGCUCUUGUAUUUUUAUAGAGUCAAAUAUAUUUUAAAGAAAUUGAAAGCAUCUUUUAAAAAAGAAUCAAAAAGCUUCUUUUUCUCCCCCCCUUUUUUUUUCUUAUUUGUGGAGAGCAUCGCAAGUCCAGUCCAAGGGAACAGCAAGUAUUCAUAGAAAUGAAGAUUGAAGCUGCAUUUCCUUACUGAACUGUAAAAGUGUUCUGCAAUAGAUAGUCAGUUCCUGACCUUGCAGAGUGUUCCAGUAGUACUUCGUUAGUACCUGUAAAUAAGUGCUUGCCACCAGAUUCAGAAGUAGGAAGAAGAAUGCCAGUCAAGAAGAAAGGAAAAAAUCACUAGAACCUUCAAGCACUGAAGUCAGAUGGUGAGGGAUCUUGUGGAUGUUGCAGCAGGUUACCAGUGCAAUUAGAUGCCAUCUGAGUGUAAGCCUGUGUCCUUCUGCACAGCAGGGAGGAAAACUGCGAACCUCAUAGGGCUCCUCCAGGCUCUGUGUCUCUUCUGUUUCUCAGAGUUCAACUGACACUCAUAACACAACUCCUGCCCUUCAAAGCAAUCUGACUUGCAGAACAUUUAGCCCUCUGCAUUGUAUCAUCUGCUCAAAUCAAUAUUCUGGAGCAAGAGAUAGGUGAACAACUUCUGCGGUUCCUUGGCAGCUGUGUGGGGCAGAGAGACCUGCAAUAACACAAUUGCAUGGUAACACUGUUCAGUGCUAAGCUACUUGUCCUCCUUACUUCAGAUUUCCUUGGCAUUUGCAUGCCUGGUUUUCCCUCAAUAUACCUGGGCAUGUAACACUGCCUUGUUCUGAGAAAUUUGUACUUGCAUAGCAGUUCUCACAGUCUGUCUGGCCCAUUUCUUGUCUGCUGACAGCAUCAUGGUCUAGAAUGGACCAACACUGCUUCACAAUAGAACUGUUCCUAAAUUGGUGUUCUGCAGGAAAGCAGUUGUGCAGAUUAUUCACCAAGGCUAUGGUUAGUUUAGGGAUGUCAUGCUUUUUACACUUAAUGGAGAGCAAGGGCAACUCAGAAUGCAACCUCAAUUUGAAAUAUCAUUCCUGGAAAGACUCUCCACUUGUCCCAAGAUUAAUCUCCAGAGGCCAUGUGUUGGCCUCCUCUGUGUGCCAAUCUGGUUGCUAAAAGCUGAAACCCCUAGAAACAAGCUUGCCUGGUACUUCCUCCGAUGAUUGUCCCCCUCCUUUUUCUGUCCCCUUGUUUUCCCUAGCAGGACAGAAGAUGGAUUUAUGUGCCAUGCAUAUCCUGAGGAGCUGUUAUUUUUAACCCUUUUGCUUGUUGAGUGCUUGCCACACUUGGUGAUUGUCACAUACGUCACGCCUUAUGCUCCCUCAAGGUUGUAUAACCCAUAUGCCUCAUUUUCUGGAUUGUUGGUUAGUCCUUUUAAAGAGAUGAAGGGCUCAAGAUGCUGGGAGCUUUCUGGUUUUUUACACGUAUUCCCUGUCUGCUUUCCCUUGGUGCAGUCUACUAGGUUAAUAUGUGUCUCAUAUUAAUGUUUAUAUGUAAAUAUUUUAUGAUUAUAAUUUGUCUAGUAGUUCUCAAGUCCUUUGAAUCAUGGGAGUUUACAGCUUGUGUUUUUCUCAGCCAUCUUAGGGUACUGUUUCUUGAAUUUCUUUCUAAAAUUUAACUUUCUUCUUUCUACUCAUUUCCUCUAUGGGUAGUGAUAUUGUGUAUUAGCAGGAUUUAUUCCUUUGUGUUUGAUGGUCUGUGUGAAGAUCAGGGAAGGUAAAUGAGUUAGAUAGGUUUGACUUGGAUCACUCCUGAGGCAGGUUGCCUGGAAAUUUCUUACUGCAUUCCCUCCUGCUGAUCUGUAACAACUCAUUUUAACUUUUUGAGAAUUCCAGACCACAGAAUCAAAUCAAGACAUCUUUAAAUAAUGGAGGCAGGGAACUGUGUUUGCUCCUCGGUCUCUUCUGGUGAUCUGAAUGAAGGUGUGAACUUUCCAAAAUGAAAGUAGUUUUUGAGAUCCUUUUUCUUCUAAAGUUAUCAAAGAUCACUGAGAACACUUCCUUGCUCCCUUUCCUGGUGUUCUGGUUCCAUUUCUCACUUCUACUUUGGCUCCUGUGUUUCUUCUCCACCAUUCUUCAUGCCUUUUCCUACAUUCAAUGCCCUACAUUUUCCCAAUUCUGGUUCUCAAAGACCUGUAAAGUGUCUCCUGAAAUGUGUUGGCAUUUUCUUUUAAAAUUCACCUCUAAAACAGACUUGGCAAGUCAGAAGAUAACUGAAAUCCCUUUUAGGAAAAAAAACAUUAAGAAAUGAAAAAAAGAAAUUGAAAUGAAAACAUCUCUUCAUCUUAUCAAUCCAGUUAGGGUUAGAUCUCAACUAAUGUUAAAAUGUCUCUCGAUAAAUGUUAAAUAUCUCAAUGAAACCUUAUUUUUCAUUGAAGUUAACAUUUUUUCCAUCCUGUUGCACCCCAAAAAUAUUUUCAUUCACAAACUCUGGUGCCAGUGGGAGGAGAAAAAUGUAAAUGUGUUUCUAAACUUAGCAAGAGGCUGUGGUAGACUUGGUUCCCUGAGAGGCAGUGGCUGCCUGAUACUCCCUUGUGCUGGUGCAGGGUGCUGUUAACCAGCUGAGUCUGAUUUCUUCCAUGUGCAAGGCAGAACUUGCUGAGUUUGGAAUUGUAUUUUCAUUUUUUUUCUCUCCAUCUUCUGAGCUACCUUGCUUCAUAGCAGGAGUUGAAUGACAGGAUCAGACUCCCAAGGAAAGCAGCAGCAGCUGUCAGCAGACUGCGGGUGUUCAAAGCACAACAAUUUAAGUGCAAAAUCAGUGACUGGUCCUGGCCAGUUACAUAUAUGGGUCCAUAUAAAAUUCAGCCUAUGACUUUACUGUGGCCAGAGGGAGCUCAAUGGCUUGAAAAUACCCAUACAUGCAUAUAUAUGGCCUUAGCAGCAUCUGCUUGAAUUAUGUGGUGGUUCCAUUAUCUGCUCCUUUGGUUUGAGCCAUCAUCAUUCAACAAACCCUGGACUGAAAAUGGAGCUGCUUGGAGACUGGUGUUUGAAUCACUUUUACUUUCUCAUAUAGUUUCAAUUAAUCCUGUUAGUCAAACCUGUUCCUAAUUAGUUUUUGAAGUUUACAGAUAAACCUAAAUUAUCUUCAGGUAUAGUAUAUUUAGUUCAUUUGAAGGAUAAAUGCUGUGCCUAAACACCUGGGAGAUAUUUAAGAAACUUGUUUCUGAGGUCUGUGCUAUGGUGUGGUGUGUGACCUGCUAUGUGUGGGCAGGGCUGUGUUAUCCUCAGUCCCAUAUGGUGGCAUAAAAACUUUUAAAAUCAACUCACCUGUUCACACCAACACAGCUGCAGAUGCUUCAAUCUACCAGGACUCUACUGUAAGUGCUGCAGUGAAGUAUAGUGUCUCCUUGCCUAUAUGGAGUUUUGAAGUGGUUAUAAAAAUGUGCUUGCAAAACAUGAGAGCAUAGAAAUCAAACCAGCAGAGGAAGGGAAUUCUUUUGAUUCAGGGUACUGGUUAGUAUACUAAGUUGCAUCCAGGUCUUGGAUAUCACCCUGAGAAGUAGAUGGAAUUGAUUUUGACAUCAUUUUAGCAAAGUAGGUGAUAAAAUUAUUGCAGUAUUGAUUUAAGUAUGCAUAAGUUAAGUCUUUCAGAUGUGUGGCUUACAUUUUAAGAGCAAUGCUUUAGGAAGCAAUUUAUUGGUGAGAAUUUAAUUCCUCCUGUUAUAUAGUGCGCAUUACUCUGUAUGUGCUUGGAUGUAUAGCCUCGUUUCUUUUUGGCAGUAUCCCCAUAAAACUUUUUGUCUGUAAGAUAUACUGAAGUUAUGUUUUGUUAAAAUAUAACUUGGGUUUUCUGUACAAUUUUCUAUACCGUUUCUGUAUUUGUUGUACCAGAUAUAUAAACAUUGCCCCCA